This 359-nucleotide unclassified non-coding RNA is filed under the name soil metagenome. RNAcentral's name for it is "partial contains 5.8S ribosomal RNA, internal transcribed spacer 2, and large subunit ribosomal RNA". The stretch from base 2 to 121 matches the Rfam family "5.8S ribosomal RNA", at positions 35 to 154 of the family's 154-position model. The record is from RNAcentral.
GGAUGAAGAACGCAGUGAAAUGCGAUAAGUAAUGUGAAUUGCAGAAUUCAGUGAAUCAUCGAAUCUUUGAACGCACAUUGCGCCCGUCAGUAUUCUGGCGGGCAUGCCUGUUCGAGCGUCAUUACGCCCCUCAAGUCCCCUGUGGACUUGGUGUUGGGGAUCGGCGAGGCUGGUUUUCCAGCACAGCCGUCCCUUAAAUUAAUUGGCGGUCUCGCCGUGGCCCUCCUCUGCGCAGUAGUAAAACACUCGCAACAGGAGCCCGGCGCGGUCCACUGCCGUAAAACCCCCCAACUUUUUAUAGUUGACCUCGAAUCAGGUAGGACUACCCGCUGAACUUAAGCAUAUCAAUAAGCGGAGGA